GACGAACGCUGGCGGAGUGCUUAACACAUGCAAGUCGAACGGAAAGGCCCUGCUUUUGUGGGGUGCUAGAGUGGCGAACGGAUGAGUAACAAGUGAGUAACCUGCCCUUGACUUUGGGAUAACUUCAGGCAACUGGGGAUAAUACCGGAUAGGAGCUCCUGCUGCAUGGUGGGGGUUGGAAAGUUUCGGCGGUUGGGGAUGGACUCGCGGCUUAUCAGCUUGUUGGUGGGGGAGUGGCGUACCAAGGCUUUAACGGGUAGCCGGCCUGAGAGGGUGACCGGCGACAUUGGGACAGAGAGACAGCCCAGACACCUACGGGAGGCAGCAGUGGGGAAAAUUUCAGAAUGUGCGGAAGCCUGAUGCAGCAACACCGCGUGCGGGAGGACAACCUUCGGGUUGUAUACCGCUUUCGCCUGUGACGAAGCGUGAGUGACGGUAAUGGCUAAAGAAGCACCGGCUAACUACGUG
RNAcentral lists this ribosomal RNA (468 nucleotides) under uncultured bacterium. RNAcentral's name for it is "partial 16S ribosomal RNA". It matches the Rfam family "Bacterial small subunit ribosomal RNA", at positions 28 to 507 of the family's 1533-position model. The record is from RNAcentral.